This 466-nucleotide ribosomal RNA is filed under the name uncultured bacterium. Its description in RNAcentral is "partial 16S ribosomal RNA". It matches the Rfam family "Bacterial small subunit ribosomal RNA", at positions 28 to 507 of the family's 1533-position model. The record is from RNAcentral.
GACGAACGCUGGCGGCGUGCUUAACACAUGCCAGUCGAACGGAAAGGCCCUGCUUUUGUGGGGUGCUCGAGUGGCGAACGGGUGAGUAACACGUGAGUAACCUGCCCUUGACUUUGGGAUAACUUCAGGAAACUGGCUAAUACCGGAUAGGAGCUCCUGCUGCAUGGUGGGGGUUGGAAAGUUUCGGCGGUUGGGGAUGGACUCGCGGCUUAUCAGCUUGUUGGUGGGGUAGUGGCUUACCAAGGCUUUGACGGGUAGCCGGCCUGAGAGGGUGACCGGCCACAUUGGGACUGAGAUACGGCCCAGACUCCUACGGGAGGCAGCAGUGGGGAAUAUUGCACAAUGGGCGGAAGCCUGAUGCAGCAACGCCGCGUGCGGGAUGACGGCCUUCGGGUUGUAAACCGCUUUCGCCUGUGACGAAGCGUGAGUGACGGUAAUGGGUAAAGAAGCACCGGCUAACUACGUG